GACGAACGCUGGCGGCGUGCUUAACACAUGCAAGUCGAACGGUGAACGAGGGAGCUUGCUCCCUCCGGAUCAGUGGCGAACGGGUGAGUAACACGUGAGCAAUCUGCCCCGAACUCUGGGAUAAGCGUUGGAAACGACGUCUAAUACCGGAUACGACGCGGGAGGGCAUCCUCUCCGCGUGGAAAGAACUUCGGUUCGGGAUGAGCUCGCGGCCUAUCAGCUUGUUGGUUAGGUAACGGCUCACCAAGGCGACGACGGGUAGCCGGCCUGAGAGGGUGACCGGCCACACUGGGACUGAGACACGGCCCAGACUCCUACGGGAGGCAGCAGUGGGGAAUAUUGCACAAUGGGCGCAAGCCUGAUGCAGCAACGCCGCGUGAGGGACGACGGCCUUCGGGUUGUAAACCUCUUUUAGCAGGGAAGAAGCGAAAGUGACGGUACCUGCAGAAAAAGCACCGGCUAACUACGUG
Molecule: ribosomal RNA, 470 nt
Filed under: uncultured bacterium
Lineage: Bacteria
Description: partial 16S ribosomal RNA
Rfam family: Bacterial small subunit ribosomal RNA
Source: RNAcentral